RNAcentral lists this small nucleolar RNA (141 nucleotides) under Drosophila yakuba. RNAcentral describes it as "snoRNA:GE26994". Lineage: Eukaryota; Metazoa; Arthropoda; Insecta; Diptera; Drosophilidae. The record is from RNAcentral.
UAAAUUAUGACGACUGUCAGUGGAUGAUUGCAAUUGCGUUUGCGAUUACGAUGAGGUUGUCGAUUACCAACUGGCGUUAAAAUGUUGUGGCGGCUUUCAUAAAUUUUGUAUUCCAGUAUGCAGACUUUCACGCCUGAUAUU